CCUACGGGUGGCAGCAGUGAGGAAUAUUGGUCAAUGGGCGAGAGCCUGAACCAGCCAAGUCGCGUGAGGGAGUACUGCCCUAUGGGUUGUAAACCUCUUUUGUCGGGGAGCAAAAGCCGGACGUGUCCGGCUGUGAGAGUACCCGAAGAAAAAGCAUCGGCUAACACCGUGCCAGCAGCCGCGGUAAAACGGAGGAUGCGAGCGUUAUCAGGAUAUAUUGGGUUUAAAGGGUGCGCAGGCGGAUUUUUAAGUCAGCGGUAAAAUCGUGGGGCUCAACCCCAUCCAGCCGUUGAAACUGGGGAUCUAGAGUGUGCGAGAGGUAUGCGGAAUGCGUGGUGUAGCGGUGAAAUGCAUAGAUAUCACGCAGAACCCCGAUUGCGAAGGCAGCAUACCGGUGCACAACUGACGCUCAGGCACGAAAGCGUGGGUAUCGAACAGGAUUAGAUACCCCAGUAGUC
This 458-nucleotide ribosomal RNA is filed under the name uncultured bacterium. RNAcentral describes it as "partial 16S ribosomal RNA". It matches the Rfam family "Bacterial small subunit ribosomal RNA", at positions 338 to 795 of the family's 1533-position model. The record is from RNAcentral.